Molecule: ribosomal RNA, 494 nt
Filed under: uncultured bacterium
Lineage: Bacteria
Description: bacterial SSU rRNA
Rfam family: Bacterial small subunit ribosomal RNA
Source: RNAcentral
GUGCGGACGAAGGCCUUCGGGUUGUAAACUGCUUUUGUACGGAACGAAAAAGCUUGGUUAAUACCCAGUCUCCAUGACGGUACCGUAAGAAUAAGCACCGGCUAACUACGUGCCAGCAGCCGCGGUAAUACGUAGGGUGCAAGCGUUAAUCGGAAUUACUGGGCGUAAAGGGUUCGUAGGUGGCCAACUAAGUCAGACGUGAAAUCCCUCAGCUUAACUGGGGAACUGCGUCUGAUACUGGAUGGCUUGAGUGCAGGAGAGGAACGCGGAAUUCCAGGUGUAGCGGUGAAAUGCGUAGAUAUCUGGAGGAACACCGGUGGCGAAGGCGGCGUUCUGGACUGCAACUGACACUGAGGAACGAAAGCCAGUGGAGCAAACGGGAUUAGAUACCCCGGUAGUCCUGAACCUAAACGAUGAAUGCUUGGUGUAACGGGUAUCGAUCCCCGUUGUGCCGAAGCUAACGCAUUUAGCAUUCCGCCUGGGGAGUACGGUCG